UGGGGAAUUUUGGACAAUUGGGCGAAAGCCUGAUCCAGCAAUGCCGCGUGUGUGAAGAAGGCCUUCGGGUUGUAAAGCACUUUUGUCCGGAAAGAAAUCCUUGGCUCUAAUACAGUCGGGGGAUGACGGUACCGGAAGAAUAAGCACCGGCUAACUACGUGCCAGCAGCCGCGGUAAUACGUAGGGUGCAAGCGUUAAUCGGAAUUACUGGGCGUAAAGCGUGCGCAGGCGGUUUUGCUAAGACCGAUGUGAAAUCCCCGGGCUCAACCUGGGAACUGCAUUGGUGACUGGCAGGCUAGAGUAUGGCAGAGGGGGGUAGAAUUCCACGUGUAGCAGUGAAAUGCGUAGAGAUGUGGAGGAAUACCGAUGGCG
RNAcentral lists this ribosomal RNA (372 nucleotides) under uncultured bacterium. RNAcentral's name for it is "partial 16S ribosomal RNA". It matches the Rfam family "Bacterial small subunit ribosomal RNA", at positions 355 to 717 of the family's 1533-position model. The record is from RNAcentral.